RNAcentral lists this ribosomal RNA (468 nucleotides) under uncultured bacterium. RNAcentral describes it as "partial 16S ribosomal RNA". It matches the Rfam family "Bacterial small subunit ribosomal RNA", at positions 28 to 507 of the family's 1533-position model. The record is from RNAcentral.
GACGAACGCUGGCGGCGUGCUUAACACAUGCAAGUCGAACGGAAAGGCCCUGCUUUUGCCGGGUGCUCGAGUGGCGAACGGCUGAGUAACACGUGAGUAACCUGCACUUGGCUUUGGUAUCACUUCGGGAAACUUGGGCUAGUACCGUAUCUGCUCUCCUGCCACAUGCUGGCGCUUGCGCAUUGUCGGCGGUUGGGGAUGGACUCGCGUCUUAUCAGCUCGGUGCUGGGUAAGUGGCUUACCAGGGCUUUGCCGGGUAGACGGACUGAGAGGAUGACCGGCCAGAUUGGGACUGAGAUACGGCACAGACUCCUCCGGGAGGCAGCAGUGGAGAAUAUUGCACAAUAGGCGGAAGCCUGAUACAGCAAAGCCGCGUGCGGGAUGACGGCCUUCGGGUUGGAAUCCGCUUUCGCCUGUGAAGAAGCGUGAGUGACGGUAAUGGGUAAAGAAGCACCGGCUAACUACGUG